AUGCACGACUGUAAUCCGGGAAACCAGCUUGAAAGCAUCUGGAUAAGAAUCAAGGGAACCGGGACUCAAAAAGAUCUUGUCGUGGGUGUCUACUACAGACCUCCGAGUCAGGAUGAAGGACUUGAUGAAGCCUUCUGUCAACAGCUGACCAAACAGGCACAAAGAAGAGAUAUAGUAGUCAUGGGCGAUUUCAAUUAUCCCGAUAUCUGCUGGAAAACAAACUCAGCCAAGAGUACAAAGUCCAACAAAUUCCUCACUUGCCUUGCAGAUAAUUUUAUGGUCCAGAAGGUAGAAGAGGCAACAAGGGGAUCAGCAACUCUUGAUCUAAUCUUAACAAAUGUGGAAGACCUGAUCAAUACAGUUGAAGUGGUUGGAUCCUUAGGGGCAAGUGACCAUGUGCUCCUGCAGUUUGCAAUACAAAGGAAUGCUGAAACUAAGACAAGUCAAACACGCAUUCUGGACUUUAAGGGAGCUGACUUCCAAAAAAUGAAGGAAUUACUGAGCGGCAUUCCAUGGACGCCGAUAUUAAAAAACAAGGGAGUUAAGGAUGGAUGGGAGUUUUUCAAAAGUGAAAUACUCAAGGCGCAAAUGCAAACAGUGCCAACAAAGAAGAAAAAUAAGACAAGUGCAAAGAAGCCAGAAUGGAUGUCCAAAGAACUUCUAACUGAGCUAAAGCUCAAAAGUGACAUGCACAAGAAGUGGAAAAGGGGAGAAAUCACCAAAGAAGAAUUCAAACGUAUAGCCAACUCCUGUAGGGAAAAGGUUCGCAAGGCUAAAGCGCAAAAUGAGCUCAGGCUUGCCAGGGACAUAAAAAACAACAAAAAAGGUUUUUUUGCUUAUGUUGGUAGAAAAAGGAAGAAAAAGGAGGCGAUAGGGCCACUGCAAGGAGUAGAUGGGGUGAUGGUGACAGGGGAUAGGGAAAAGGCAGAACUGCUUAAUGCCUUCUUUGCCUCGGUCUUCUCACAAAAAGAAAGCCAUCUUCAACCUCAGCAACAUGGAAUGGACGAAGGAUUGGGGAAAAUCCAACCCCAAAUAGGGAAACAAGUUGUCCAGGAACACCUGGCCACUCUAAACGAAUUCAAGUCCCCAGGGCCAGAUCAGCUACAUCCAAGAGUAUUGAAGGAACUAGCGGAAGUUAUUUCAGAACCACUGGCAAUUAUCUUCGAGAGUUCUUGGAGAACAGGAGAAGUCCCAGCAGAUUGGAGGAGGGCGAAUGUGGUCCCUAUCUUCAAGAAGGGAAAAAAGAACGACCCAAACAAUUACCGUCCGGUCAGCCUCACAUCAAUACCAGGCAAGAUUCUGGAAAAGAUCAUUAAGGAAGUGGUCUGCAAACACUUAGAAACAAAUGCGGUCAUUGCUAAUAGUCAACACGGAUUUACCAAAAACAAGUCAUGCCAGACUAAUCUGAUCUCUUUUUUCGAUAGAGUUACGAGUUGA
This 1437-nucleotide long non-coding RNA is filed under the name Anolis carolinensis (green anole). RNAcentral's name for it is "lncRNA (ENSACAG00000035497.1)". The record is from RNAcentral. Lineage: Eukaryota; Metazoa; Chordata; Lepidosauria; Squamata; Anolidae.